Herpailurus yagouaroundi (jaguarundi) is the source of this 485-nucleotide long non-coding RNA. RefSeq lists it as uncharacterized. The transcript is spliced from 2 exons. NCBI's taxonomy places the organism in Eukaryota, Metazoa, Chordata, Mammalia, Carnivora, Felidae. The record is from RefSeq and is a predicted model, not a curated record.
AGUCAGGUUCCACUGCGGACCCACUGAAUCAGAACCUACAAGAUCCCUGGGUGAUGUUUAUGCCAACUGGAAAAGCACUGGAGAGGGAGCGGCAGAGGGAGGAGGGAGGCAGAGGAAGAUUUGAACACACCCAGGAGGGAAAACCUUGGAAAGCACAGAGCAGACAGAGGUUUGAUGGUGCAUUCCUUGAAGACUGGAAUGAUGCAGAGGCAAGUUAAAGAACGCUAGCAGCCACAGGAAGAAGCUGGAAGAGCCAGAGCUCUCCAAAAGCCUAUCGAGGGGUUCAUGGCCCUGCCAAUACAUUAAUUUCAGCCCAGUAAAGCUGAUUUUUGACCUCCAGAACUGUGAGAGAAUGAAUUUUUGUUGGCUUAUGCCUCCAACUUAUUGAGAAUUUGUUGCGACAAAAAAAUGAAGAUAGCCAUCAUGUUUAACUUCAUGCCAGUUUGUGUGUCUUCUAAUUUCUAAUAAAGUUAUAAUUCCAUGUA